UACGUAGGUGGCAAGCGUUGUCCGGAUUUACUGGGCGUAAAGGGCGCGUAGGCGGGAUGGCAAGUCGGUCGUGAAAUCCUUCGGCUCAACCGAAGAACGUCGAUCGAUACUGCUGUUCUUGAGGGUUGCAGAGGAGACUGGAAUUCCCGGUGUAGCGGUGAAAUGUGUAGAGAUCGGGAGGAACACCGGUGGCGAAGGCGGGUCUCUGGGCAGUUCCUGACGCUGAGGCACGAAGGUCAGGGGAGCAAACGGG
This 253-nucleotide ribosomal RNA is filed under the name uncultured bacterium. RNAcentral describes it as "partial 16S ribosomal RNA". It matches the Rfam family "Bacterial small subunit ribosomal RNA", at positions 524 to 776 of the family's 1533-position model. The record is from RNAcentral.